GACUCACUGGCUCAUCCACUUUGGCUUUUGUGUGGUGUCUUCACUGAGUAAAGCCAAGACAGAGGAAUGGAACCACAGUCUCCUACUGAGUCCACAUCGUCACCAGUGCAAACACAUGUAGCAAAGGAUUUCAGUUUUACUACUUCAGUCAGUAGAGAAACCAACUGGGGAUAAGUUUGAAGGAAGUGCUGCUGUGAUUCUGAUCUUAGAUGCCUUCUUGAAGUCAACCACAUAAGCAGGUAACUUUCUGUUCCUGCUGAUGUAAUUUUUUUUUUGUUUUCCACAUACCCUUUAUGGUUCUAUUAAUAGCUGCGGUCUCAGAUGCUCAAACGUGGCCAGUGUAAAUCAAUGUCUUCCUGCUGCCUGCUGACGAAGAUGGAGAACUCCCAGCUACCCAGGCAGCACCAUGUCUGCCUAUAUGCUGCAAUGCUUCCCACCAUGGAAACAGUGGACUAAACUGUGAACUGUAAACCAGCCCCAAUUAAAUGUUUUCUUU
This 496-nucleotide long non-coding RNA is filed under the name Mus caroli (Ryukyu mouse). RNAcentral describes it as "RIKEN cDNA 2610300M13 gene (MGP_CAROLIEiJ_G0006357.1)". The record is from RNAcentral. Lineage: Eukaryota; Metazoa; Chordata; Mammalia; Rodentia; Muridae.